RNAcentral lists this ribosomal RNA (292 nucleotides) under uncultured bacterium. RNAcentral describes it as "partial 16S ribosomal RNA". The record is from RNAcentral.
GGACUACUGGGGUAUCUAAUCCCGUUCGCUCCCCUGGCUUUCGCCCCUCAGCGUCAGGUGCUGCCCAGGACACUGCCUUCGCCUUCGGUGUUCCUCCGGAUCUCUACGCAUUUCACCACUCCACCCGGAAUUCCGUGUCCCUCUUCAGCCCUCAAGUGCGCUCGUUUUCUCUCUCCUUCGUCAGGUAAGCCGACGACUGUCACAGAGAACGCAGCCCACCGCCUACAGGCCCUUUACGCCCAGUAACUCCGGACAACGCUCGCCCCCUACGUAUUACCGCGGCGGCUGGCAC